RNAcentral lists this ribosomal RNA (216 nucleotides) under uncultured bacterium. RNAcentral's name for it is "partial 16S ribosomal RNA". It matches the Rfam family "Bacterial small subunit ribosomal RNA", at positions 1285 to 1500 of the family's 1533-position model. The record is from RNAcentral.
GUCCCAGUUCGGAUUGUAGUCUGCAACCCGACUACAUGAAGCUGGAAUCGCUAGUAAUCGCGGAUCAGAAUGCCGCGGUGAAUACGUUCCCGGGUCUUGUACACACCGCCCGUCACACCAUGGGAGUUGGAAAUGCCCGAAGUCAGUGACCGAACCGAAAGGAAGGAGCUGCCGAAGGUGGAGCCGAUGACUGGGGUGAAGUCGUAACAAGGUACC